UCACAUUCAACAGUUCUUGCCUUACUGCCG
This 30-nucleotide non-coding RNA is filed under the name Rattus norvegicus (Norway rat). The record is from RNAcentral. Lineage: Eukaryota; Metazoa; Chordata; Mammalia; Rodentia; Muridae.